RNAcentral lists this ribosomal RNA (497 nucleotides) under uncultured bacterium. Its description in RNAcentral is "partial 16S ribosomal RNA". It matches the Rfam family "Bacterial small subunit ribosomal RNA", at positions 28 to 507 of the family's 1533-position model. The record is from RNAcentral.
GAUGAACGCUGGCGGCGUGCCUAAUACAUGCAAGUCGAGCGAACGGACGAUAAGCUUGCUCCUCUGAUGUUAGCGGCGGACGGGUGAGUAACACGUGGAUAACCUACCUAUAAGACUGGGAUAACUUCGGGAAACCGGAGCUAAUACCGGAUAAUAUGUUGAACCGCAUGGUUCAAAAGUGAAAGACGGUCUUGCUGUCACUUAUAGAUGGAUCCGCGCUGCAUUAGCUAGGUGGUAAGGUAACGGCUUACCAAGGCAACGAUGCAUAGCCGACCUGAGAGGGUGAUCGGCCACACUGGAACUGAGACACGGUCCAGACUCCUACGGGAGGCAGCAGUAGGGAAUCUUCCGCAAUGGGCGAAAGCCUGACGGAGCAACGCCGCGUGAGUGAUGAAGGUCUUCGGAUCGUAAAACUCUGUUAUUAGGGAAGAACAUAUGUGUAAGUAACUGUGCACAUCUUGACGGUACCUAAUCAGAAAGCCACGGCUAACUACGUG